CGGAUAGGCAAUUUUUCCUGUAAUGGUUCUUUGUUUAAAUGUUUUUUCGCCUAAGGAUGGGUCUGCGGCCGAUUAGGUAGUUGGUUAGGUAAUGGCUUACCAAGCCGUUGAUCGGUACGGGUUGUGAGAGCAAGAGCCCGGAGAUGGAACCUGAGACAAGGUUCCAGGCCCUACGGGGCGCAGCAGGCGCGAAACCUCCACAAUGUGAGAAAUCGCGAUGGGGGGAUCCCAAGUGCCAUUCUUAACGGGAUGGCUUUUCAUUAGUGUAAAGAGCUUUUGGAAUAAGAGCUGGGCAAGACCGGUGCCAGCCGCCGCGGUAACACGGGCAGCUCUAGUGGUAGCAAUUUUUAUUGGGCCUAAAGCGUCCGUAGCCGGUUUAAUAAGUCUCUGGUGAAAUCCUGUAGCUUAACUGUGGGAAUUGCUGGAGAUACUAUUAGACUUGAGACCGGGAGAGGUUGGAGGUACUCCAGGGUAGAGGUGAAAUUCUGUAAUCCUGGGAGGACCGCCUGUUGCGAAGGCGUCUAACUGGAACGGUUCUGACGGUGAGGGACGAAAGUUAGGGGCGCGAACCGGAUUAGAUACCCGGGUAGUCCUAACUGUAAACGAUGCGGACUUGGUGUUGGGGUGGCUUUGAGCUGUCCCAGUGCCGAAGGGAAGCUGUUAAGUCCGCCGCCUGGGAAGUACGGUCGCAAGACUGAAACUUAA
RNAcentral lists this ribosomal RNA (705 nucleotides) under uncultured archaeon. RNAcentral's name for it is "bacterial SSU rRNA". It matches the Rfam family "Archaeal small subunit ribosomal RNA", at positions 153 to 859 of the family's 1478-position model. The record is from RNAcentral.